This 529-nucleotide ribosomal RNA is filed under the name uncultured prokaryote. RNAcentral's name for it is "bacterial SSU rRNA". It matches the Rfam family "Bacterial small subunit ribosomal RNA", at positions 394 to 916 of the family's 1533-position model. The record is from RNAcentral.
AUGCCGCGUGCAGGAUGAAGGCCUUCGGGUUGUAAACUGCUUUUGUACGGAACGAAACGGCUCUCUCUAAUACAGGGGGCUAAUGACGGUACCGUAAGAAUAAGCACCGGCUAACUACGUGCCAGCAGCCGCGGUAAUACGUAGGGUGCGAGCGUUAAUCGGAAUUACUGGGCGUAAAGCGUGCGCAGGCGGUUAUAUAAGACAGAUGUGAAAUCCCCGGGCUCAACCUGGGACCUGCAUUUGUGACUGUAUAGCUAGAGUACGGUAGAGGGGGAUGGAAUUCCGCGUGUAGCAGUGAAAUGCGUAGAUAUGCGGAGGAACACCGAUGGCGAAGGCAAUCCCCUGGACCUGUACUGACGCUCAUGCACGAAAGCGUGGGGAGCAAACAGGAUUAGAUACCCUGGUAGUCCACGCCCUAAACGAUGUCAACUGGUUGUUGGGUAUUUACUUACUCAGUAACGAAGCUAACGCGUGAAGUUGACCGCCUGGGGAGUACGGCCGCAAGGUUGAAACUCAAAUGAAUUGACGG